Molecule: ribosomal RNA, 450 nt
Filed under: uncultured bacterium
Lineage: Bacteria
Description: bacterial SSU rRNA
Rfam family: Bacterial small subunit ribosomal RNA
Source: RNAcentral
GUGGGGAAUUUUGGACAAUGGGCGCAAGCCUGAUCCAGCAAUGCCGCGUGCAGGAAGAAGGCCUUCGGGUUGUAAACUGCUUUUGUACGGAACGAAACGGUCCUGGUUAAUACCUGGGGCUAAUGACGGUACCGUAAGAAUAAGCACCGGCUAACUACGUGCCAGCAGCCGCGGUAAUACGUAGGGUGCAAGCGUUAAUCGGAAUUACUGGGCGUAAAGCGUGCGCAGGCGGUUUUGUAAGACAGGCGUGAAAUCCCCGGGCUCAACCUGGGAAUUGCGCUUGUGACUGCAAGGCUGGAGUGCGGCAGAGGGGGAUGGAAUUCCGCGUGUAGCAGUGAAAUGCGUAGAUAUGCGGAGGAACACCGAUGGCGAAGGCAAUCCCCUGGGCCUGCACUGACGCUCAUGCACGAAAGCGUGGGGAGCAAACAGGAUUAGAAACCCUGGUAGUCC